UACGUAGGGGGCAAGCGUUAUCCGGAUUUACUGGGUGUAAAGGGAGCGUAGGUGGCAUGGCAAGUCAGAAGUGAAAGCCCAGGGCUCAACCCUGGGACUGCUUUUGAAACUGUCAAGCUAGAGUGCAGGAGAGGUAAGUGGAAUUCCUAGUGUAGCGGUGAAAUGCGUAGAUAUUAGGAGGAACACCAGUGGCGAAGGCGGCUUACUGGACUGUAACUGACACUGAGGCUCGAAAGCGUGGGGAGCAAAC
RNAcentral lists this ribosomal RNA (250 nucleotides) under uncultured bacterium. Its description in RNAcentral is "partial 16S ribosomal RNA". It matches the Rfam family "Bacterial small subunit ribosomal RNA", at positions 524 to 773 of the family's 1533-position model. The record is from RNAcentral.